CUCUAUGCUGAGAUCUGAUAGCAAGCUGUACUUGUACAGCGAAGUGGUUGAUGCCAUGCUUCCAGGAAAAGUCUCUAAGCUUCAGUUACACAGGAAUCGUACCCGAAACCGACACAGGUGGUCAGGUCGAGUAGACCAAGGCGCUUGAGAGAACUCUGCUGAAGGAACUAGGCAAAAUGGUACCGUAACUUCGGGAGAAGGUACGCUGUUGUUGGUGAUGGAACUCGCUUCCUGAGCUGACGACAGCCGCAGAAACCAGGCCGCUGCAACUGUUUAUUAAAAACAUAGCACUCUGCAAACACGAAAGUGGACGUAUAGGGUGUGAUGCCUGCCCGGUGCUGGAAGGUUAAUUGAUGGGGUUAGCGUAAGCGAAGCUCUUGAUCGAAGCCCCAGUAAACGGCGGCCGUAACUAUAACGGUCCUAAGGUAGCGAAAUUCCUUGUCGGGUAAGUUCCGACCUGCACGAAUGGCAUAAUGAUGGCGGCGCUGUCUCCAGCAGAGGCUCAGUGAAAUCGAAAUCGCUGUGAAGAUGCAGUGUACCCGCGGCUAGACGGAAAGACCCCGUGAACCUUUACUGCAGCUUGACACUGAACUUUGACCUUACUUGUGUAGGAUAGGUGGGAGGCUUUGAAGCUGGAACGCUAGUUCCAGUGGAGCCGUCCUUGAAAUACCACCCUGGUAAUGUUGAGGUUCUAACUCUGUCCCGUGAUCCGGGACGAGGACCGUGUCUGGUGGGUAGUUUGACUGGGGCGGUCUCCUCCUAAAGAGUAACGGAGGAGUACGAAGGUGCGCUCAGCGUGGUCGGAAAUCACGCGUAGAGUAUAAAGGCAAAAGCGCGCUUAACUGCGAGACCCACAAGUCGAGCAGGUACGAAAGUAGGUCUUAGUGAUCCGGUGGUUCUGUAUGGAAGGGCCAUCGCUCAACGGAUAAAAGGUACUCUGGGGAUAACAGGCUGAUACCGCCCAAGAGUUCAUAUCGACGGCGGUGUUUGGCACCUCGAUGUCGGCUCAUCUCAUCCUGGGGCUGAAGCAGGUCCCAAGGGUAUGGCUGUUCGCCAUUUAAAGAGGUACGCGAGCUGGGUUUAGAACGUCGUGAGACAGUUCGGUCCCUAUCUACCGUGGGCGCUGGAAAUUUGAGAGGAUCUGCUCCUAGUACGAGAGGACCAGAGUGGACGAACCUCUGGUGUACCGGUUGUGACGCCAGUCGCAUCGCCGGGUAGCUAUGUUCGGAAGGGAUAACCGCUGAAAGCAUCUAAGCGGGAAGCCUACCUCAAGAUAAGAUUUCCCUAGGACUUUAUGUCCUCUAAAGAGCCGUUCGAGACUAGGACGUUGAUAGGUUGGAUGUGGAAGCAUAGUGAUAUGUGAAGCUGACCAAUACUAAUUGCUCGUGAGGCUUGACUAU
Molecule: ribosomal RNA, 1400 nt
Filed under: Acinetobacter baumannii
Lineage: Bacteria; Pseudomonadati; Pseudomonadota; Gammaproteobacteria; Moraxellales; Moraxellaceae
Description: bacterial LSU rRNA
Rfam family: Bacterial large subunit ribosomal RNA
Source: RNAcentral